RNAcentral lists this ribosomal RNA (253 nucleotides) under uncultured bacterium. Its description in RNAcentral is "partial 16S ribosomal RNA". It matches the Rfam family "Bacterial small subunit ribosomal RNA", at positions 524 to 776 of the family's 1533-position model. The record is from RNAcentral.
UACGUAUGGGGCAAGCGUUAUCCGGAUUUACUGGGUGUAAAGGGAGCGCAGGCGGCCUGGCAAGCCUGAUGUGAAAUACCGGGGCCCAACCCCGGGGCUGCAUUGGGAACUGCCAGGCUGGAGUGCCGGAGAGGCAGGCGGAAUUCCUAGUGUAGCGGUGAAAUGCGUUGAUAUUAGGAGGAACACCAGUGGCGAAGGCGGCCUGCUGGACGGUGACUGACGCUGAGGCUCGAAAGCGUGGGGAGCAAACAGG